ACCUGGUUGGUUCAGUUGGUGAAGCAUAUGACUCGUGAUCUUGAGGUUGUGGGUUCAAGCCCCACAUUGGGUG
Molecule: non-coding RNA, 73 nt
Organism: Neomonachus schauinslandi (Hawaiian monk seal)
Lineage: Eukaryota; Metazoa; Chordata; Mammalia; Carnivora; Phocidae
Source: the annotation of a RefSeq genome assembly